This 90-nucleotide transfer RNA is filed under the name Alphaproteobacteria bacterium. RNAcentral's name for it is "tRNA-Ser". It matches the Rfam family "tRNA". From Rfam's summary of the family: Transfer RNA (tRNA) molecules are approximately 80 nucleotides in length. Their secondary structure includes four short double-helical elements and three loops (D, anti-codon, and T loops). Lineage: Bacteria; Pseudomonadati; Pseudomonadota; Alphaproteobacteria. The record is from RNAcentral.
GGAGAUGUGGCAGAGUGGUUGAAUGCACCUGACUUGAAAUCAGACGAAGGCGUAAGUCUUCCUGGGGUUCGAAUCCCUACAUCUCCGCCA